UGGGGAAUAUUGCACAAUGGGGGAAACCCUGAUGCAGCAACGCCGCGUGAGUGAUGAAGGCCUUCGGGUUGUAAAGCUCUGUCUUUGGGGACGAUAAUGACGGUACCCAAGGAGGAAGCCACGGCUAACUACGUGCCAGCAGCCGCGGUAAUACGUAGGGAGCAAGCGUGGUUCGGAUUUACUGGGCGUAAAGGGCGCGUAGGCGGCGCGGUAAGUCACUUGUGAAAUCUCUGAGCUUAACUCAGAACGGCCAAGUGAUACUGCUGUGCUAGAGUGCGGAAGAGGCAACCGGAAUUCUUGGUGUAGCGGUGAAAUGCGUAGAUAUCAAGAGGAACACCUGAGGCGAAGGCGGGUUGCUGGGCCGACACUGACGCUUAUGCGCGAAAGCCAGGG
This 393-nucleotide ribosomal RNA is filed under the name uncultured bacterium. Its description in RNAcentral is "bacterial SSU rRNA". It matches the Rfam family "Bacterial small subunit ribosomal RNA", at positions 355 to 765 of the family's 1533-position model. The record is from RNAcentral.